This 509-nucleotide ribosomal RNA is filed under the name uncultured Entrophospora. RNAcentral's name for it is "SSU rRNA". It matches the Rfam family "Eukaryotic small subunit ribosomal RNA", at positions 569 to 1074 of the family's 1831-position model. Lineage: Eukaryota; Fungi; Glomeromycota; Glomeromycetes; Entrophosporales; Entrophosporaceae. The record is from RNAcentral.
AGCAGCCGCGGUAAUUCCAGCUCCAAUAGCGUAUAUUAAAGUUGUUGCAGUUAAAAAGCUCGUAGUUGAAUUUCGGGAUUGGCGCAUCGGUCGUGCCUCACGGGGUAUGAACUGGUGCAGUCAAUUUCUCACCUUCUGGAGAACCGCGAUGUCCUUAAUUGGAUGCCGCGGGGAACCAGGACCUUUACUUUGAAAAAUUAGAGUGUUUAAAGCAGGCAUUUUUGCUUGAAUACAUUAGCAUGGAAUAAUAAAAUAGGACGGCAUGGUUCUAUUUUGUUGGUUUCUAGGACCACCGUAAUGAUUAAUAGGGAUAGUUGGGGGCAUUAGUAUUCAAUUGUCAGAGGUGAAAUUCUUGGAUUUAUUGAAGACUAACUACUGCGAAAGCAUUUGCCAAGGAUGUUUUCAUUAAUCAAGAACGAAAGUUAGGGGAUCGAAGACGAUCAGAUACCGUCGUAGUCUUAACCAUAAACUAUGCCGACUAGGAAUCAGACGAUGUUAAUUUUUAAUGA